CCUACGGGUGGCAGCAGUGAGGAAUAUUGGUCAAUGGGCGGGAGCCUGAACCAGCCAAGUCGCGUGAGGGAAGACGGUCCUACGGAUUGUAAACCUCUUUUGCCGGGGAGCAACGGGGUCCUUGCGAGGGCCCAAUGAGAGUACCCGGAGAAAAAGCAUCGGCUAACUCCGUGCCAGCAGCCGCGGUAAUACGGAGGAUGCGAGCGUUAUCCGGAUUUAUUGGGUUUAAAGGGUGCGUAGGCGGGCUGUUAAGUCAGCGGUCAAAUGUCGGGGCUCAACCCCGGCCUGCCGUUGAAACUGGCGGCCUCGAGUGGGCGAGAAGUAUGCGGAAUGCGUGGUGUAGCGGUGAAAUGCAUAGAUAUCACGCAGAACUCCGAUUGCGAAGGCAGCAUACCGGCGCCCUACUGACGCUGAGGCACGAAAGCGUGGGUAUCGAACAG
RNAcentral lists this ribosomal RNA (440 nucleotides) under uncultured bacterium. Its description in RNAcentral is "bacterial SSU rRNA". It matches the Rfam family "Bacterial small subunit ribosomal RNA", at positions 338 to 775 of the family's 1533-position model. The record is from RNAcentral.